GAUGAAGAACGUAGCGAAAUGCGAUAACUAAUGUGAAUUGCAGAAUUCCGUGAAUCAUCGAGUCUUUGAACGCACAUUGCGCCCCCUGGUAUUCCGGGGGGCAUGCCUGUCCGAGCGUCAUUGCUGCCCAUCAAGCACGGCUUGUGUGUUGGGUCCUCGUCCCCCCCGGGGGACGUGCCCGGAAGGCAGCGGCGGCACCGCGUCCGGUCCUCGAGCGUAUGGGGCUUUGUCACCCGCUCUGCAGGCCCGGCCGGCGCUGGCCGACGCGAAAGCAACCAUUUUUUCUCCAGGUUGACCUCGGAUCAGGUAGGGAUACCCGCUGAACUUAAGCAUAUCAAUAAGCGGAGGA
RNAcentral lists this unclassified non-coding RNA (349 nucleotides) under soil metagenome. RNAcentral describes it as "partial contains 5.8S ribosomal RNA, internal transcribed spacer 2, and large subunit ribosomal RNA". The stretch from base 1 to 120 matches the Rfam family "5.8S ribosomal RNA", at positions 35 to 154 of the family's 154-position model. The record is from RNAcentral.